RNAcentral lists this long non-coding RNA (1982 nucleotides) under Onthophagus taurus. Its description in RNAcentral is "uncharacterized LOC111418427, transcript variant X1". Lineage: Eukaryota; Metazoa; Arthropoda; Insecta; Coleoptera; Scarabaeidae. The record is from RNAcentral.
UGACGUGGCUAUGUUCGGAACUGAUUCCAAUUCCCAAAAAUUCUGAAUUGUCUUUUCCAAAGAGGCAUUGGUGGUUGAAAGACAUGUCGAGUUGUGGGUUGGAUCGGACAGAGAAGACUUCCCCAUAAGAAUCCAUCCAAAAACGGAAUUGACAGCGAUGGGCUCAUGAGAUCCGCCCUGAAUGGGACCUUCGGUGUUUAAGAUGUGAGUGCAGGGAAGCAAUAGAGGAAGCUGAGGGUUGAUUGGAGCAAAUACUUGGGGUUAUAAUAGCUUUGAAUUGGAAGGAUGGUUUUUGACCAUGAAUAGGUUGAACGGAACAAUCAAUUGAUCCCUUUUUACAGAUCGACGUCAUCGAGUUCAGUCCUUGAAUCUCUAUACAAGAUGUGUAUUUUCUAGACAUUUUAUGCGAGGAAGUCCCCACAUGAAUAGCUGCAGAGCCUGGACCCUUAAGAUGAAGUGACGAGUGAUGAUGCUGGUUGCAAAUGCGACAGGUACGGUUAGAUGAGCAAUUAUGUGUGGCAUGGUUUUGGCUAAGGCAGUUACGACAUAAAUUGUACUCUCGAGCAACUGCCAACCUUUCAAUAGCUGAUUUUCCAUUAAAAACGUGGCAUCGAUAGAUGGGAUGCACUUCUGGGCAUAAAAUACAUUUAGAUGAUUGCGGUUUUGCGGAAAGAUGUUCAAGUUUCAGAUUCACUGCCUUUUCCCGCAUGUUGGGCUUGAACCGCAUAAGGGAAGUUUUAUCCCCCGACAUUAGUAAGACGGAUUCUAGUGCCUUUGCUCUCUUUUCAAGAAAGGUCAUUAGCUGAACAUAUGUUGGAUUGUUGGUAUCAGUAUGUUCUGCUUCGAAGGUGGUUCUGAUUGCGUCUGUCAAUUUUGGAAGCACUAAAUUAAACAGCAAGAAAUCCCAUUGUUCUACGGGAAAUCCUAAGAUUCGUCUUUCAAAGGUUUUACAUGAAGAAUUUCCAAGAAAUACAAUGUGCCUAAAUGCCGUUUAUUAUUGUAUCUUCCCUUUAAAGUAUUGUAAGCCGUUUCAUAAUUAGCCUCUAUUACUGGCAAUCCCUUUAAAAGAUUAAAGGGUUCUCCCUUUGAAGAGCUGAGAAGGUACUGGUACUUGACAAUGGAUGAUAACGAAUUGUUUUCAUGAACCAGGGUCCGGAACAGGCCAAAAAACGUAUGCCAGUCCUUGUAAAUACCAUCAAAAGUUGGCAGUGAGAUUUUAUUGAGCUUCGGAGCUUCUGGUAAGGGAACAUCCCGACAUGUUGUAGGAGGUGGCGAACGUUGAUGGAAGACGGCUUUAAUGGUAUAGUAAACAGUAGCUGCGUUUUCUCGAACUUUAUCGUGAGUCUCAAAGUCAGCUUCGUCAAUGAUUCCAAUAAUGGUAUUAUGAGCUGUUUGAAAAUCCUUAUAACUGUUCUCAAUAUCCUGCGCUCGUUCAAGAAAAAUGGAAUUUGUUAGAGGAUCAGAGAGAUCUUUACUGAGAGCUAGGCAUUCUUGUAAGUGAUUAGAGGCGCUAGUACGGCGUAAGAUAAUGAAUUAGGAAGAUAAAUUUUAAUUAUCAACGAGUCGCAAUUUGAGGAAUAAGAGUGAGAAAUAAUUCUCGAGUACGAAACGGACAAUGUUAAAUUCAACAAGGUGAAGAAUUAAACAAAGGCGUAUUACUAGAAAUACUUCGUUUAAAUAGGUGAUGACGAUUUAGGCUGAAUUCGACCAAUAAGUUUUAGGUACCAGAUGUUCGAAACGUGGAACGUGGAGGACCGUAAAAACGUGGAUAAAAUUAAUGAGAAAUGGGGUAAAAUGAGGGCGUAACGACGCAAAAGUAACAAAUAAGCAAAAAAAAAAUUAUAUUUGGGAAUAAGAUCCGGCUCGAAGGACCAAUGUUUGCGCAGGCAAGAAGCCAGACAACAACUUUAAAUAAAGGGCUGAUUCGUAGAUUCGUGAUAAAAAUGUACUAAAGGUUAAUAAUAGAUCGGUGUGAAAUUAAA